This 263-nucleotide ribosomal RNA is filed under the name uncultured archaeon. RNAcentral's name for it is "partial 16S ribosomal RNA". It matches the Rfam family "Archaeal small subunit ribosomal RNA", at positions 718 to 982 of the family's 1478-position model. The record is from RNAcentral.
AGUCACUGACAUUAGAUACCCGGUAGUCCAGGGUGUAAACGCUGCAGACUUGGUGUUGGAAGCCCUUUGGGGGCAUUCAGUGCCGGAGAGAAGUUGUUAAGUCUGCUACUUGGGAGUACGUCCGCAAGGAUGAAACUUAAAGGAAUUGGCGGGGGAGCACCGCAACGGGAGGAGCGUGCGGUUUAAUUGGAUUCAACACCGUAAAACUCACCAGGGAAGACUGUUACAUGAAGGCCGAGAUGAAGACUCUGCCAGAUUUUCAG